RNAcentral lists this ribosomal RNA (301 nucleotides) under uncultured bacterium. RNAcentral's name for it is "partial 16S ribosomal RNA". It matches the Rfam family "Bacterial small subunit ribosomal RNA", at positions 509 to 809 of the family's 1533-position model. The record is from RNAcentral.
CAGCAGCCGCGGGAAUACGUAGGGUGCGAGCGUUAAUCGGAAUUACUGGGCGUAAAGCGUGCGCAGGCGGUUCGUUAAGACAGAUGUGAAAUCCCCGGGCUUAACCUGGGAACUGCAUUUGUGACUGACGGGCUAGAGUAUGGCAGAGGGGGGUAGAAUUCCACGUGUAGCAGUGAAAUGCGUAGAGAUGUGGAGGAAUACCGAUGGCGAAGGCAGCCCCCUGGGCCAAUACUGACGCUCAUGCACGAAAGCGUGGGGAGCAAACAGGAUUAGAUACCCGCGUAGUCCCUGUCUCUUAUAA